RNAcentral lists this long non-coding RNA (995 nucleotides) under Homo sapiens (human). RNAcentral describes it as "HSALNT0365607". Lineage: Eukaryota; Metazoa; Chordata; Mammalia; Primates; Hominidae. The record is from RNAcentral.
GUGAGGUUAACCUAAGGCACAUUUCUGGGCUUCUGGCCUACUCUCUACUCCUGCUGGGCGCCUGUCUCCAGCUGGGACGAAGGGAAGAGCCUGCAGGUCAUGCCUCUACUUGAAGCUUCCUUCUCUCUCUCAGGGUUGCUAUUUAUUAUGUCUUGGCCAGUGCACCAAUCCAAAAGUUGAAAAAAAGCAGAGUACACAUCAAACCAUUCCCAGAAUCAAACUCUAGGAUGAUUUAAAGAUCAGUGAGUCAGAUACAUGUGGAUUAAAUUUUCCUCUAACUACAUACUUGGUUAGAAAAUCCUAGCCUGGGACUUGGAAGUGAUGGGUCCUGUUUGGGACACCCAAGUUGCUAUAAAGAGGUACAACGUGUGUUCAGUUCCAGUCCCUGGAUCAUCAGGCAAGGUCUGAAAACCUCUGUUUGAGACGGCAUAAAUUCCCAGGACUGCAGACCACUGGACCAAACUUCUAGGAGGCAAGACUUGUGGACCCUGGUUUCAAAAGAUUGUGACUUCCGUUCUGCUGGCUGACCCUCUCUCCAGCCUUCUCAGCUUGCAUAUCUCCAUGAAGCAAGCUGCCAUGUUGGCAAGACCUACGUGGCAAGGAUUUGAGAGCAUCCUCUGGCCAGCAGCAAGCUAGGAACCGAGGCCCUCAGUCCAACAACCAUCAAGGGACUGAAUUCUGCCAACAAACAUGUGAACUUGGAUGUGGAUCCUUCCCCAGGUGAGCCUUCAGACGAAAUGCCAACCCUGGCCAAAAUUUUGGUUACAGCCUUGUGAGAGAUUCUAAAGAAAGGACCUGGCUAAGUUGUGCCCUGGCUCUUGGCCCACAGAAACUGUGAGAUAAUAAAAGUGUGUUGUUUUAAACCAUGAUGUAUUAUGGAUUUGUUACACAGAAAUAGAUAGCUAAUACAACCUCUCUGUCUUCCUAGCUCAGCAUUUGGCAUAUGGAGUGGAAGUCAAGUGUCAGUUGAGUGUAUGAAUGAAUGAAUGGUGAUG